AUUGAACGCUGGCGGCAUGCCUUACACAUGCAAGUCGAACGGCAGCGGGGGAGAAGCUUGCUUUUCCUGCCGGCGAGUGGCGAACGGGUGAGUAAUACAUCGGAACGUGCCCUGUAGUGGGGGAUAACUAGUCGAAAGAUUAGCUAAUACCGCAUACGACCUGAGGGUGAAAGUGGGGGACCGCAAGGCCUCAUGCUAUAGGAGCGGCCGAUGUCUGAUUAGCUAGUUGGUGGGGUAAAGGCCUACCGAGGCGCCGAUCAGUAGCUGGUCUGAAAGGACGAUCAGCCACACUGGGACUGAGACACGAGCCAGACUCCUACGGGAGGCAGCAGUGGGGAAUUUUGGACAAUGGGCGAAAGCCUGAUCCAGCAAUGCCGCGUGUGUGAAGAAGGCCUUCGGGUUGUGAAGCACUUUUGUCCGGAAAGAAAUGGCUCUGGUUAAUACCUGGGGUCGAUGACGGUACCGGAAGAAUAAGGACCGGCUAACUACGUGCCAGCCGCCGCGGUAA
Molecule: ribosomal RNA, 508 nt
Filed under: uncultured bacterium
Lineage: Bacteria
Description: partial 16S ribosomal RNA
Rfam family: Bacterial small subunit ribosomal RNA
Source: RNAcentral